AAAUUGAAGAGUUUGAUCAUGGCUCAGAUUGAACGCUGGCGGCAGGCCUAACACAUGCAAGUCGAGCGGUAGCACAGAGAGCUUGCUCUCGGGUGACGAGCGGCGGACGGGUGAGUAAUGUCUGGGAAACUGCCUGAUGGAGGGGGAUAACUACUGGAAACGGUAGCUAAUACCGCAUAACGUCGCAAGACCAAAGUGGGGGACCUUCGGGCCUCAUGCCAUCAGAUGUGCCCAGAUGGGAUUAGCUAGUAGGUGGGGUAAUGGCUCACCUAGGCGACGAUCCCUAGCUGGUCUGAGAGGAUGACCAGCCACACUGGAACUGAGACACGGUCCAGACUCCUACGGGAGGCAGCAGUGGGGAAUAUUGCACAAUGGGCGCAAGCCUGAUGCAGCCAUGCCGCGUGUGUGAAGAAGGCCUUCGGGUUGUAAAGCACUUUCAGCGGGGAGGAAGGCGUUAAGGUUAAUAACCUUGGCGAUUGACGUUACCCGCAGAAGAAGCACCGGCUAACUCCGUGCCAGCAGCCGCGGUAAUACGGAGGGUGCAAGCGUUAAUCGGAAUUACUGGGCGUAAAGCGCACGCAGGCGGUCUGUCAAGUCGGAUGUGAAAUCCCCGGGCUCAACCUGGGAACUGCAUUCGAAACUGGCAGGCUAGAGUCUUGUAGAGGGGGGUAGAAUUCCAGGUGUAGCGGUGAAAUGCGUAGAGAUCUGGAGGAAUACCGGUGGCGAAGGCGGCCCCCUGGACAAAGACUGACGCUCAGGUGCGAAAGCGUGGGGAGCAAACAGGAUUAGAUACCCUGGUAGUCCACGCCGUAAACGAUGUCGAUUUGGAGGUUGUGCCCUUGAGGCGUGGCUUCCGGAGCUAACGCGUUAAAUCGACCGCCUGGGGAGUACGGCCGCAAGGUUAAAACUCAAAUGAAUUGACGGGGGCCCGCACAAGCGGUGGAGCAUGUGGUUUAAUUCGAUGCAACGCGAAGAACCUUACCUGGUCUUGACAUCCACAGAACUUUCCAGAGAUGGAUUGGUGCCUUCGGGAACUGUGAGACAGGUGCUGCAUGGCUGUCGUCAGCUCGUGUUGUGAAAUGUUGGGUUAAGUCCCGCAACGAGCGCAACCCUUAUCCUUUGUUGCCAGCGGUUCGGCCGGGAACUCAAAGGAGACUGCCAGUGAUAAACUGGAGGAAGGUGGGGAUGACGUCAAGUCAUCAUGGCCCUUACGACCAGGGCUACACACGUGCUACAAUGGCGCAUACAAAGAGAAGCGACCUCGCGAGAGCAAGCGGACCUCAUAAAGUGCGUCGUAGUCCGGAUUGGAGUCUGCAACUCGACUCCAUGAAGUCGGAAUCGCUAGUAAUCGUGGAUCAGAAUGCCACGGUGAAUACGUUCCCGGGCCUUGUACACACCGCCCGUCACACCAUGGGAGUGGGUUGCAAAAGAAGUAGGUAGCUUAACCUUCGGGAGGGCGCUUACCACUUUGUGAUUCAUGACUGGGGUGAAGUCGUAACAAGGUAACCGUAGGGGAACCUGCGGUUGGAUCACCUCCUUA
Molecule: ribosomal RNA, 1540 nt
Filed under: Klebsiella pneumoniae
Lineage: Bacteria; Pseudomonadati; Pseudomonadota; Gammaproteobacteria; Enterobacterales; Enterobacteriaceae
Description: bacterial SSU rRNA
Rfam family: Bacterial small subunit ribosomal RNA
Source: RNAcentral